AGGGCGCACGGUGGAUGCCUUGGUACUAGGAGCCGACGAAGGACGUGACAAACGACGAUAUGCCUUGGGUAGCUGUAAGUAAGCGAUGAUCCAGGGAUUUCCGAAUGGGGGAACCCAACAGGUAGUACCUGUUACCCACAUCUGUUAAGGAUGUGAGGAGGAAGACGCAGUGAACUGAAACAUCUAAGUAGCUGCAGGAAGAGAAAGCAAAAGCGAUUGCCUUAGUAGCGGCGAGCGAAACGGCAGGAGGCAAACCGAAGAGUUUACUCUUCGGGGUUGUAGGACUGCAAUGUGGACUCAAAGAUUAUAGAAGAAUGAUUUGGGAAGAUCAGCCAAAGAGAGUAAUAGCCUCGUAUUUAAAAUAGUCUUUGUACUUAGCAGUAUCCUGAGUACGGCGGGACACGUGAAAUCCCGUCGGAAUCUGGGAGGACCAUCUCCCAACCCUAAAUACUCCCUAGUGACCGAUAGUGAACCAGUACCGUGAGGGAAAGGUGAAAAGCACCCCGGGAGGGGAGUGAAAUAGAACCUGAAACCGUGUGCCUACAACAAGUUCGAGCCCGUUAAUGGGUGAGAGCGUGCCUUUUGUAGAAUGAACCGGCGAGUUACGUUAUGAUGCGAGGUUAAGUUGAAGAGACGGAGCCAUAGGGAAACCGAGUCUGAAUAGGGCGCCUUAGUAUCAUGACGUAGACCCGAAACCAUGUGACCUACCCAUGAGCAGGUUGAAGGUGCGGUAAGACGCACUGGAGGACCGAACCAGGGCACGUUGAAAAGUGCUUGGAUGACUUGUGGGUAGCGGAGAAAUUCCAAACGAACUUGGAGAUAGCUGGUUCUCUCCGAAAUAGCUUUAGGGCUAGCGUCGACAUUAGAGAUUCUUGGAGGUAGAGCACUGUUUGGGUGAGGGGUCCAUCCCGGAUUACCAAUCUCAGAUAAACUCCGAAUGCCAAUGAAUUAUGGUCGGCAGUCAGACUGCGAGUGCUAAGAUCCGUAGUCGAAAGGGAAACAGCCCAGACCACCAGCUAAGGUCCCAAAAUAAUUGUUAAGUGGAAAAGGAUGUGGGGUUGCACAGACAACUAGGAUGUUAGCUUAGAAGCAGCUAUUCAUUCAAAGAGUGCGUAAUAGCUCACUAGUCGAGUGACCCUGCGCCGAAAAUGUACCGGGGCUAAAACAAUUUACCGAAGCUGUGGAUACCUUUAUAGGUAUGGUAGGAGAGCGUUCUAUGUGUGAUGAAGGUAUACCGCGAGGAGUGCUGGAACGCAUAGAAGUGAGAAUGCCGGUAUGAGUAGCGAAAGACAGGUGAGAAUCCUGUCCACCGUAAGACUAAGGUUUCCAGGGGAAGGCUCGUCCGCCCUGGGUUAGUCGGGACCUAAGGAGAGACCGAAAGGUGUAUCCGAUGGACAACAGGUUGAUAUUCCUGUACUAGAGUAUGUAGUGAUGGAGGGACGCAGUAGGCUAACUAAAGCAGACGAUUGGAAGAGUCUGUCUAAGCAGUGAGGUGUGAAUUGAGUCAAAUGCUUAAUUCUAUAACAUUGAGCUGUGAUGGGGAGCGAAGUUUAGUAGCGAAGUUAGUGACGUCACACUGCCAAGAAAAGCUUCUAGCGUUUAAACAUACUCUACCCGUACCGCAAACCGACACAGGUAGUCGAGGCGAGUAGCCUCAGGUGAGCGAGAGAACUCUCGUUAAGGAACUCGGCAAAAUGACCCCGUAACUUCGGGAGAAGGGGUGCUGACUUUAAGUCAGCCGCAGUGAAUAGGCCCAAGCAACUGUUUAUCAAAAACACAGCUCUCUGCUAAAUCGUAAGAUGAUGUAUAGGGGGUGACGCCUGCCCGGUGCUGGAAGGUUAAGAGGAGUGCUUAGCGUAAGCGAAGGUAUGAAUUGAAGCCCCAGUAAACGGCGGCCGUAACUAUAACGGUCCUAAGGUAGCGAAAUUCCUUGUCGGGUAAGUUCCGACCCGCACGAAAGGCGUAAUGAUUUGGGCACUGUCUCAACGAGAGACUCGGUGAAAUUUUAGUACCUGUGAAGAUGCAGGUUACCCGNGACAGGACGG
RNAcentral lists this ribosomal RNA (2045 nucleotides) under Streptococcus pneumoniae GA43257. Its description in RNAcentral is "bacterial LSU rRNA". It matches the Rfam family "Bacterial large subunit ribosomal RNA", at positions 14 to 2083 of the family's 2925-position model. The record is from RNAcentral. Lineage: Bacteria; Bacillati; Bacillota; Bacilli; Lactobacillales; Streptococcaceae.